CCUACGGGUGGCAGCAGUGAGGAAUAUUGGUCAAUGGUCGGGAGACUGAACCAGCCAAGCCGCGUGAGGGAGGAAGGUACAGAGUAUCGUAAACCUCUUUUGUCAGGGAACAAAGACUGGGAUGCGUCCCCGGAAGAGUGUACCUGACGACAAACCAUCGGCUAACUCCGUUCCAGGAGCCGCGGUAAUACGGAGGUUUCCAGCGUUAUCCGGAUUUAUUGGGUUUAAAGGGUGUGUAGUCGGUCGGACAAGUCAGAUGUGAAAUCCCGAGGCUCAACUGCGGAAUUGCCUCUGAUACUGUUCGGCUAGAGAGUAGUAGCGGUAGGCGGAAUGUAUGGUGUAGCGGUGAAAUGCGUAGAGAUCAUGCAGAACACCGGUGGCGAAGGCAGCUUAC
Molecule: ribosomal RNA, 394 nt
Filed under: uncultured bacterium
Lineage: Bacteria
Description: partial 16S ribosomal RNA
Rfam family: Bacterial small subunit ribosomal RNA
Source: RNAcentral